Molecule: transfer RNA, 72 nt
Filed under: Heterocephalus glaber (naked mole-rat)
Lineage: Eukaryota; Metazoa; Chordata; Mammalia; Rodentia; Bathyergidae
Rfam family: tRNA
About the family: Transfer RNA (tRNA) molecules are approximately 80 nucleotides in length. Their secondary structure includes four short double-helical elements and three loops (D, anti-codon, and T loops). Further hydrogen bonds mediate the characteristic L-shaped molecular structure. tRNAs have two regions of fundamental functional importance: the anti-codon, which is responsible for specific mRNA codon recognition, and the 3' end, to which the tRNAs corresponding amino acid is attached (by aminoacyl-tRNA synthetases). tRNAs cope with the degeneracy of the genetic code in two manners: having more than one tRNA (with a specific anti-codon) for a particular amino acid; and 'wobble' base-pairing, i.e. permitting non-standard base-pairing at the 3rd anti-codon position.
Source: Rfam by way of RNAcentral
GGGAGUGUGGUUCAGUGGUACAGGGCUUGCCUAGCAUGUAUAAGCACCUGGGUUCAAUCCCCAGCACUGCCA